GUAAUGCAUCGGGACCUACCUGAACGUGGGGGAUAACGUAGGGAAACUUACGCUAAUACCGCAUACGUCCUACGGGAGAAAGCGGGGGACCUUCGGGCCUCGCGCGGUCAGACGGACCGAUGUUCGAUUAGCUAGUUGGUAAGGUAAUGGCUUACCAAGGCGACGAUCGAUAGCUGGUCUGAGAGGAUGAUCAGCCACACUGGAACUGAGACACGGUCCAGACUCCUACGGGAGGCAGCAGUGGGGAAUAUUGGACAAUGGGCGCAAGCCUGAUCCAGCAAUGCCGCGUGUGUGAAGAAGGCCUUCGGGUUGUAAAGCACUUUUAUCAGGAACGAAAUACUACCGGUUAAUAACCGGUGGGGCUGACGGUACCUGGGGAAUAAGCACCGGCUAACUUCGUGCCAGCAGCCGCGGUAAUACGAAGGGUGCGAGCGUUAAUCGGAAUUACUGGGCGUAAAGGGUGCGUAGGCGGUUUGUUAAGUCUGUCGUGAAAUCCCCGGGCUCAACCUGGGAAUGGCGAUGGAUACUGGCAAGCUAGAGUGUGUCAGAGGA
Molecule: ribosomal RNA, 552 nt
Filed under: uncultured bacterium
Lineage: Bacteria
Description: bacterial SSU rRNA
Rfam family: Bacterial small subunit ribosomal RNA
Source: RNAcentral